This 497-nucleotide ribosomal RNA is filed under the name uncultured bacterium. RNAcentral describes it as "SSU rRNA". It matches the Rfam family "Bacterial small subunit ribosomal RNA", at positions 26 to 518 of the family's 1533-position model. The record is from RNAcentral.
AGAUUGAACGCUGGCGGCGUGCCUAACACAUGCAAGUCGAGCGGUAACAGGUGUAGCAAUACAUGCUGACGAGCGGCGAACGGGUGAGUAAUGCUUUGGAAUCUUCCCAGUAGUGGGGAAUAACCAGUCGAAAGAUUGGCUAAUACCGCAUACGUCUGUAAAGGGAAAGCGGGGGCUCGUAAGACCUCGCGCUAUUGGAUGAGCCAAAGUCGGAUUAGCUAGUUGGUGGGGUAACGGCCUACCAAGGCGACAAUCCGUAGCUGGUCUGAGAGGACGACCAGCCACACCGGAACUGAGACACGGUCCGGACUCCUACGGGAGGCAGCAGUGGGGAAUAUUGGACAAUGGGGGAAACCCUGAUCCAGCGACGCCGCGUGUGUGAAGAAGGCCUGCGGGUUGUAAAGCACUUUUAGUGGGGACAAAAAGCUACGGAUUAAUACUCUGUGGUCUUGAUUUAACCCAAGAAAAGCACCGGCUAACUCUGCGCCAGCAGCCGC